Molecule: ribosomal RNA, 468 nt
Filed under: uncultured bacterium
Lineage: Bacteria
Description: partial 16S ribosomal RNA
Rfam family: Bacterial small subunit ribosomal RNA
Source: RNAcentral
GACGAACGCUGGCGGCGUGCUUAACACAUGCAAGUCGAACGGAAAGGCCCUGCUUUUGUGGGGUGCUCGAGUGGCGAACGGGCGAGUAACACGUGAGUAACCUGCCCUUGACUUUGGGAUAACUUCAGGAAACUGGGGCUAAUACCGGAUAGGAGCUCCUGCGGCAUGGUGGGGGUUGGAAAGUUUCGGCGGUUGGGGAUGGACUCGCGGCUUAUCAGCUUGUUGGUGGGGUAGUGGCUUACCAAGGCUUUGACGGGUAGCCGGCCUGAGAGGGUGACCGGCCACAUUGGGACUGAGAUACGGCCCAGACUCCUACGGGAGGCAGCAGUGGGGAAUAUUGCACAAUGGGCGGAAGCCUGAUGCAGCAACGCCGCGUGCGGGAUGACGGCCUUCGGGUUGUAAACCGCUUUCGCCUGUGACGAAGCGUGAGUGACGGUAAUGGGUAAAGAAGCACCGGCUAACUACGUG